This 303-nucleotide ribosomal RNA is filed under the name uncultured bacterium. Its description in RNAcentral is "bacterial SSU rRNA". It matches the Rfam family "Bacterial small subunit ribosomal RNA", at positions 680 to 985 of the family's 1533-position model. The record is from RNAcentral.
GGUGAAAUGCGUAGAGAUCAGGAAGAACAUCGGUGGCGAAGGCGCUCUGCUGGACCAUAACUGACGCUGAUGCUCGAAAGUGUGGGUAUCAAACAGGAUUAGAUACCCUGGUAGUCCACACGGUAAACGAUGGAUACUCGCUGUUGGCGAUAUACAGUCAGCGGCCAAGCGAAAGCAUUAAGUAUCCCACCUGGGGAGUACGCCGGCAACGGUGAAACUCAAAGGAAUUGACGGGGGCCCGCACAAGCGGUGGAGUAUGUGGUUUAAUUCGAUGCAACGCGAAGAACCUUACCAGGACUUGAC